UUGGGGAGGGGCGAGGCCGAGGAUGGCCGGGGCGGCCGCGAAGGAUCUAGCUGCCGUCGUGACCUGCCUCCCCUCCACUCGCUGGUUGUCGUCGACUGGCUGGUCGUGCCUGGCGUGGAGGUCGACGACACGCAUGACGUGCUCGGCGGCGGCGCUGCCCUGGCAGGGGUGGGGUCUGAAGGUAGGAGGUGCCCGCACAUAAGGAGGGGUGCUGCCUUGGCGGGUCUCCCACCCAGACGUCGAGAUUUGCAGAGAUUUACGGAGGUGGUUGAGGCCCGGAUAGAUGGGUGCAGGGGAGAGGCUAUCGCAGGCGGUGACUGCCCCCGCCUAAACUUCCCGCCGCGACCCCCGCCAACCGCCUGCCGCGACCCGUACGCCGCGACCCUCGCCCGCCGCCAACCGCCCGCUAGCUCGGGGCUGGAGGUUGCGGCCCAGGGAGCUGCCCUCCCCACCGGACGUGCCGCCCCGUGGCCCAACGUGCGUCGCCGGGCGCGGGAGAACGCCAGUGCCGCCCUGCUCAACCUCGUCGGCGCUCAGGUCUUCUUCCUCCCAGACGACUGUGUCUCCUUUCGUCAACCGUCAGUGCCUCUGCAGCCGCGGGCGCGGCCCCCUAGCUCGCCCCCACGCCGACGCGGGCGCAACCUCUAG
Molecule: unclassified non-coding RNA, 648 nt
Filed under: Zea mays
Lineage: Eukaryota; Viridiplantae; Streptophyta; Magnoliopsida; Poales; Poaceae
Description: misc RNA Zm00001eb328130
Source: RNAcentral